GUCCUCGCUUUGGCAGCAUAUAUAAUAAAAUUGGAAUGAGAAGAUCAGGACAGCCCCUGCACAAAGAUGACAUGCACCUUCAUGAAGCAUUCCAUAUUUUU
Otolemur garnettii (small-eared galago) is the source of this 101-nucleotide small nuclear RNA. Lineage: Eukaryota; Metazoa; Chordata; Mammalia; Primates; Galagidae. The record is from Ensembl.